GUCGAGCGGGAUGAGGUGCUUGCACCUUAUCUUAGCGGCGGACGGGUGAGUAAUACUUAGGAAUCUGGCUAUUAGUGGGGGACAACAUUUCGAAAGGGAUGCUAAUACCGCAUACGUCCUACGGGAGAAAGCAGGGGAUCUUCGGACCUUGCGCUAAUAGAUGAGCCUAAGUCGGAUUAGCUAGUUGGUGGGGUAAAGGCCUACCAAGGCGACGAUCUGUAGCGGGUCUGAGAGGAUGAUCCGCCACACUGGGACUGAGACACGGCCCAGACUCCUACGGGAGGCAGCAGUGGGGAAUAUUGGACAAUGGGGGGAACCCUGAUCCAGCCAUGCCGCGUGUGUGAAGAAGGCCUUAUGGUUGUAAAGCACUUUAAGCGAGGAGGAGGGUGCUGGUAUUAAUACUACCAGCUACUGGACGUUACUCGCAGAAUAAGCACCGGCUAACUCUGUGCCAGCAGCCGCGGUAAUACAGAGGGUGCGAGCGUUAAUCGGAUUUACUGGGCGUAAAGCGUGCGUAGGCGGCUAAUUGAGUCGGAUGUGAAAUCCCCGAGCUUAACUUGGGAAUUGCAUUCGAUACUGGUUAGCUAGAGUGUGGGAGAGGAUGGUAGAAUUCCAGGUGUAGCGG
RNAcentral lists this ribosomal RNA (625 nucleotides) under uncultured bacterium. RNAcentral's name for it is "bacterial SSU rRNA". It matches the Rfam family "Bacterial small subunit ribosomal RNA", at positions 61 to 681 of the family's 1533-position model. The record is from RNAcentral.